ACUACCGAGAGGCAGAGGUGCGGCCCGGUGGUGCAGUUGCUGGAGCUCCACUGAAGCCUGGAGGCUAUCCUGGUCAGGGCCGGGCCACAGAUGCAACUCCUGGGUACACGGGCCAUUGUCCGAAGGCGAGUGCCGUGGUCGGGGCAACGUUCGCCUCGGCCAACCAGAAA
This 170-nucleotide non-coding RNA is filed under the name Prorocentrum minimum. The record is from RNAcentral. Lineage: Eukaryota; Dinophyceae; Prorocentrales; Prorocentraceae.